RNAcentral lists this ribosomal RNA (509 nucleotides) under uncultured bacterium. RNAcentral describes it as "partial 16S ribosomal RNA". It matches the Rfam family "Bacterial small subunit ribosomal RNA", at positions 27 to 507 of the family's 1533-position model. The record is from RNAcentral.
GGACGAACGCUGGCGGCGUGCUUAACACAUGCAAGUCGAACGGGAUAAUUUGAGAGCUUGCUCUUAGAGAAUCUAGUGGCAAACGGGUGAGUAACACGUAGACAACCUGCCGACAGGAUGGGGACAACAUUCCGAAAGGAAUGCUAAUACCGAAUGAAGCGGAGGAGAGGCAUCUCUCCUCCGUGAAAGAUGGCCUCUGAAUAUGCUAUCACCUGUCGAUGGGUCUGCGUCUGAUUAGCUAGUUGGUGAGGUAACGGCUCACCAAGGCGACGAUCAGUAGCCGGUCUGAGAGGAUGAACGGCCACAUUGGGACUGAGACACGGCCCAGACUCCUACGGGAGGCAGCAGUGGGGAAUCUUCCGCAAUGGGCGCAAGCCUGACGGAGCAACGCCGCGUGAGUGAAGAAGGUCUUCGGAUCGUAAAGCUCUGUUGACGGGGACGAACGUGCGAAGGGUGAAUAAUCCUUUGUAAUGACGGUACCUGUCGAGGAAGCCACGGCUAACUACGUG